This 252-nucleotide ribosomal RNA is filed under the name uncultured bacterium. RNAcentral's name for it is "partial 16S ribosomal RNA". It matches the Rfam family "Bacterial small subunit ribosomal RNA", at positions 524 to 776 of the family's 1533-position model. The record is from RNAcentral.
UACGGAGGAUGCGCGCGUUAUCCGGAUUUAUUGGGUUUAAAGGGUGCGUAGGCGGAAUAUCAAGUCAGCGGUAAAAAUUCGGGGCUCAACCCCGUCGUGCCGUUGAAACCGGAGCGCUAGAAUUCCGAUGCCGUCGGAGGAAUGUGUGGUGUAGCGGUGAAAUGCAUAGAUAUCACACAGAACACCGAUUGCGAAGGCAUCUGACGAAUCGGAGAUUGACGCUGAUGCACGAAGGCCAGGGGAGCGAAAGGG